RNAcentral lists this transfer RNA (633 nucleotides) under uncultured Prochlorococcus sp. Its description in RNAcentral is "partial 16S-23S ribosomal RNA intergenic spacer". The stretch from base 251 to 323 matches the Rfam family "tRNA". Lineage: Bacteria; Bacillati; Cyanobacteriota; Cyanophyceae; Synechococcales; Prochlorococcaceae. The record is from RNAcentral.
CAGGGAGACAAUAAAUUGAUUGUGAUGUCUAAGUUAUUUAUUCUUAGGCCGCAAUCCUGUCACCUUAAGGUCGAUCGGUACCUCAGAUUUUUGAAUUAGUUUUAUAAUUGAUUCUUUGAUUUCAGUUCCUAAACUUGUCUAGGUCACACCCAACAAAGGUUUCUCCUGGGCCAUUAGCUCAGGUGGUUAGAGCGCACCCCUGAUAAGGGUGAGGUCCCUGGUUCAAGUCCAGGAUGGCCCAUUCGUUGUUGGGGGUAUAGCUCAGUUGGUAGAGCGCCUGCUUUGCAAGCAGGAUGUCAGCGGUUCGAGUCCGCUUACCUCCACUGAAAACUAUCCUGAUAACUAAAUUUCUGGAGAAAAAAAUUGUAGAUGUGGCUUAGAAUUGUCUAUUUGAAAAGAACCUAGCUUCUUGUCAUCUUUUUAUAGUUGAUAAAAUGCUGGGCUCGCAUGGAUUAUUUCCAUGAGAAUUCAGUAGAACCUUGAAAACUGCAUAGAUUAGAAAGAAUAAAGCAUCUCAUGGAUGCAUAGUUCUGUUUUUAUAAUUUAGCCUUAAAACUAAAUUAUUUAAUUCUAGAAUUCAUGUUUAAUUCUUGAGUAAUAGCCGAGCACAAUUGAUUUUGUGAUUGUAUUUAA